GAUGAAGAACGUAGCGAAAUGCGAUACUUGGUGUGAAUUGCAGAAUCCCGUGAACCAUCGAGUCUUUGAACGCAAGUUGCGCCUCAAGCCAUUAGGUUGAGGGCACGUCUGCCUGGGCGUCACAUAUCGUUGCCUGAUGCCAGUUUCCUCGUGAUGGGUGACUGUCCAGGGCGAAUGAUGGCUUCCCGUGAGCAUUGUUGCCUCAUGGUUGGUUGAAAAUUGAGUCCUUGGUAGGGAGCGCCGUGAUAGAUGGUGGUUGAGUGACGAACGAGACCCAAUCAUGUGAGACCCCUACCGAAUUUGGCCUUCAUAACCCACAUGCGUCUUUUGAACGCUCAUGACGAGACCUCAGGUCAGGCGGGGCUACCCGCUGAGUUUAAGCAUAUCAAUAAGCGGAGGA
This 400-nucleotide unclassified non-coding RNA is filed under the name soil metagenome. Its description in RNAcentral is "partial contains 5.8S ribosomal RNA, internal transcribed spacer 2, and large subunit ribosomal RNA". The stretch from base 1 to 122 matches the Rfam family "5.8S ribosomal RNA", at positions 35 to 154 of the family's 154-position model. The record is from RNAcentral.